GAGAGAUAAUAGAGGUGGUGUUAGUGGUGGUGGAGGGUGUAUGGAGAGAUAAUAGAGGUGGUGUUAGUGGUGGUGCAGGGUGUAUGGAGAGAUAAUAGAGGUGGUGUUAGUGGUGGUGGAGGGUGUAUGGAGAGAUAAUAGAGGUGGUGUUAGUGGUGGUGGAGGGUGUAUGGAGAGAUAAUAGAGGUGGUGUUAGUGGUGGUGGAGGGUGUAUGGAGAGAUAAUAGAGGUGGUGUUAGUGGUGGAGGGUGUAUGGAGAGAUAAUAGAGGUGGUGUUAGUGGUGGUGGAGGGUGUAUGGAGAGAUAAUAGAGGUGGUGUUAGUGGUGGUGGAGGGUGUAUGGAGAGAUAAUAGAGGUGGUGUUAGUGGUGGUGGAGGGUGUAUGGAGAGAUAAUAGAGGUGGUGUUAGUGGUGG
Molecule: long non-coding RNA, 414 nt
Organism: Ictalurus punctatus (channel catfish)
Lineage: Eukaryota; Metazoa; Chordata; Actinopteri; Siluriformes; Ictaluridae
Source: Ensembl